Molecule: ribosomal RNA, 253 nt
Filed under: uncultured microorganism
Description: partial 16S ribosomal RNA
Rfam family: Bacterial small subunit ribosomal RNA
Source: RNAcentral
UACGUAGGGUGCGAGCGUUAAUCGGAUUUACUGGGCGUAAAGCGCGUGUAGGCGGCAGGGCAAGUCUGGUGUGAAAGCCCGGGGCUCAACCCCGGAAGUGCAUUGGAAACUGCUCUGCUUGAGUACCGGAGAGGAAGGGGGAAUUCCCGGUGUAGCGGUGAAAUGCGUAGAUAUCGGGAGGAAUACCAGUGGCGAAGGCGCCCUUCUGGACGGUUACUGACGCUGAGACGCGAAAGCGUGGGGAGCAAACCGG